ACAGUGAUUCUAUGAAAGCAAAGUCUUA
Molecule: non-coding RNA, 28 nt
Filed under: Mus musculus (house mouse)
Lineage: Eukaryota; Metazoa; Chordata; Mammalia; Rodentia; Muridae
Source: RNAcentral